Molecule: long non-coding RNA, 264 nt
Filed under: Gossypium barbadense (sea-island cotton)
Lineage: Eukaryota; Viridiplantae; Streptophyta; Magnoliopsida; Malvales; Malvaceae
Description: long non-coding RNA (GBAR_LNC011391)
Source: RNAcentral
AAAAAUAAUGGAAAAUGAGUUAGAGACAGAAUAAAAUAUGAGAUUAAAGCUUAAUGAGUCUAUUUUCAUAUGAAAGAGAUAGAGGAAGAAAAAGAAUUCUAUAUUGUGUGAUAUUUAAAUUCUUGUGAAAUAGGGUCUGAAUGAAUUUGAGAUCCCCUGUUCUGAUUUUAUAAAUUCACUGUAAAUUGUAAAAAGAUUAUUAAGAGUCAUACCUUACCUGAAUAGAUUUCUUAUUGAGUCUAUUUUUAAGGGAAACAAACGGCA